CAGGGAGACAACAAAAUGUUUUAUAUUAUUAUUUUGUCACCUUAGGUCGAUCGGUAUCUCACAUUUUUAAUUAAUUAAGAAUUUUAUUUCCUAAGUUUUUCUAGGUCACACCCAUUAUUUUUCCUGGGCCAUUAGCUCAGGUGGUUAGAGCGCACCCCUGAUAAGGGUGAGGUCCCUGGUUCAAGUCCAGGAUGGCCCAUAUCUCUAUGUUGGGGGUAUAGCUCAGUUGGUAGAGCGCCUGCUUUGCAAGCAGGAUGUCAGCGGUUCGAGUCCGCUUACCUCCACUGAUUACCACCUCUUCCAUAAUCUGUAGAAGGGAAAUGUUUUGAGUUGUGAUCAAAUACUGAACGAAUCUAGCUUCCUAAUGAAAUCAUUAAGAUGCUGGACUCAUUGAUUUAAUAUCAUUGUUUUCAGAGAACCUUGACAACUGCAUAGAUUAUUUUUAAAGACAAUAAGCAUCUUUAAUGAUGCAGAUUUAUUAUUUGUGCGAAUGCAUUAAUAACAAUUCUAUUAAGCUGAUGCUUCAAUUUUGAAGUUAUU
Molecule: transfer RNA, 540 nt
Filed under: uncultured Prochlorococcus sp.
Lineage: Bacteria; Bacillati; Cyanobacteriota; Cyanophyceae; Synechococcales; Prochlorococcaceae
Description: partial 16S-23S ribosomal RNA intergenic spacer
Rfam family: tRNA (bases 212-284)
Source: RNAcentral